Molecule: ribosomal RNA, 253 nt
Filed under: uncultured bacterium
Lineage: Bacteria
Description: partial 16S ribosomal RNA
Rfam family: Bacterial small subunit ribosomal RNA
Source: RNAcentral
UACGUAGGGGGCAAGCGUUGUCCGGAUUUAUUGGGCGUAAAGAGCUCGUAGGCGGCUUGUCGCGUCGACCGUGAAAACUCGCAGCUCAACUGCGAGCCUGCGGUCGAUACGGGCAGGCUAGAGUUCGGUAGGGGAGACUGGAAUUCCUGGUGUAGCGGUGAAAUGCGCAGAUAUCAGGAAGAACACCCGUGGCGAAGGCGGCUCUCUGGGACGGUACUGACGCUGAGACGCGAAAGCGUGGGGAGCGAACAGG